This 505-nucleotide ribosomal RNA is filed under the name uncultured bacterium. RNAcentral's name for it is "bacterial SSU rRNA". It matches the Rfam family "Bacterial small subunit ribosomal RNA", at positions 30 to 529 of the family's 1533-position model. The record is from RNAcentral.
AUUGAACGCUGGCGGCAUGCUUUACACAUGCAAGUCGAACGGCAGCGGGGCUUCGGCCUGCCGGCGAGUGGCGAACGGGUGAGUAAUGCAUCGGAACGUGCCCAGUCAUGGGGGAUAACUACGCGAAAGCGUAGCUAAUACCGCAUACGCCCUGAGGGGGAAAGUGGGGGAUCUUCGGACCUCACGUGAUUGGAGCGGCCGAUGUCGGAUUAGCUAGUUGGUGGGGUAAAAGCCACCAAGGCGACGAUCCGUAGCGGGUCUGAGAGGAUGAUCCGCCACACUGGGACUGAGACACGGCCCAGACUCCUACGGGAGGCAGCAGUAGGGAAUUUUCGGCAAUGGGGGAAACCCUGACCGAGCAAUGCCGCGUGAACGAUGAAGGUCUUCGGAUUGUAAAGUUCUGUGAUUGGGGAAGAAUGGUAUUCUUAGGGAAUGAGGAGUACAUGACGGUACCCGAUUAGAAAGCCCCGGCUAACUAUGUGCCAGCAGCCGCGGUAAUUCACUA